This 434-nucleotide ribosomal RNA is filed under the name uncultured bacterium. Its description in RNAcentral is "partial 16S ribosomal RNA". It matches the Rfam family "Bacterial small subunit ribosomal RNA", at positions 29 to 507 of the family's 1533-position model. The record is from RNAcentral.
AGCGAACGCUGGCGGCAGGCCUAACACAUGCAAGUCGAACGAACCUUUCGGGGUUAGUGGCGGACGGGUGAGUAACACGUGGGAACGUGCCUUUAGGUUCGGAAUAACUCAGGGAAACUUGUGCUAAUACCGAAUGUGCCCUUCUGGGGAAAGAUUAAUCGCCUUUAGAGCGGCCCGCGUCUGAUUAGCUAGUUGGUUGAGGUAAUGGCUCACCAAGGCGACGAUAAGUAGCUGGUCUGAGAGGAUGAUCAGCCACAUUGGGACUGAGACACGGCCCAAACUCCUACGGGAGGCAGCAGUGGGGAAUCUUGCGCAAUGGGCGAAAGCAUGACGCAGCCAUGCCGCGUGAAUGAUGAAGGUAUUAGGAUUGUAAAAUUCUUUCAACGGGGACGAUAAUGACGGUACCCGGAGAAGAAGCCCCGGCUAACUUCGUG